UGCAGUCGAGCGGAAACGAGUUAUCUGAACCUUCGGGGGACGAUAACGGCGUCGAGCGGCGGACGGGUGAGUAAUGCCUAGGAAAUUGCCCUGAUGUGGGGGAUAACCAUUGGAAACGAUGGCUAAUACCGCAUGAUGCCUACGGGCCAAAGAGGGGGACCUUCGGGCCUCUCGCGUCAGGAUAUGCCUAGGUGGGAUUAGCUAGUUGGUGAGGUAAGGGCUCACCAAGGCGACGAUCCCUAGCUGGUCUGAGAGGAUGAUCAGCCACACUGGAACUGAGACACGGUCCAGACUCCUACGGGAGGCAGCAGUGGGGAAUAUUGCACAAUGGGCGCAAGCCUGAUGCAGCCAUGCCGCGUGUGUGAAGAAGGCCUUCGGGUUGUAAAGCACUUUCAGUCGUGAGGAAGGUGGUGUAGUUAAUAGCUGCAUUAUUUGACGUUAGCGACAGAAGAAGCACCGGCUAACUCCGUGCCAGCAGCCGCGGUAAUACGGAGGGUGCGAGCGUUAAUCGGAAUUACUGGGCGUAAAGCGCAUGCAGGUGGUUUGUUAAGUCAGAUGUGAAAGCCCGGGGCUCAACCUCGGAAUAGCAUUUGAAACUGGCAGACUAGAGUACUGUAGAGGGGGGUAGAAUUUCAGGUGUAGCGGUGAAAUGCGUAGAGAUCUGAAGGAAUACCGGUGGCGAAGGCGGCCCCCUGGACAGAUACUGACACUCAGAUGCGAAAGCGUGGGGAGCAAACAGGAUUAGAUACCCUGGUAGUCCACGCCGUAAACGAUGUCUACUUGGAGGUUGUGGCCUUGAGCCGUGGCUUUCGGAGCUAACGCGUUAAGUAGACCGCCUGGGGAGUACGGUCGCAAGAUUAAAACUCAAAUGAAUUGACGGGGGCCCGCACAAGCGGUGGAGCAUGUGGUUUAAUUCGAUGCAACGCGAAGAACCUUACCUACUCUUGACAUCCAGAGAACUUUCCAGAGAUGGAUUGGUGCCUUCGGGAACUCUGAGACAGGUGCUGCAUGGCUGUCGUCAGCUCGUGUUGUGAAAUGUUGGGUUAAGUCCCGCAACGAGCGCAACCCUUAUCCUUGUUUGCCAGCGAGUAAUGUCGGGAACUCCAGGGAGACUGCCGGUGAUAAACCGGAGGAAGGUGGGGACGACGUCAAGUCAUCAUGGCCCUUACGAGUAGGGCUACACACGUGCUACAAUGGCGCAUACAGAGGGCGGCCAACUUGCGAAAGUGAGCGAAUCCCAAAAAGUGCGUCGUAGUCCGGAUUGGAGUCUGCAACUCGACUCCAUGAAGUCGGAAUCGCUAGUAAUCGUGGAUCAGAAUGCCACGGUGAAUACGUUCCCGGGCCUUGUACACACCGCCCGUCACACCAUGGGAGUGGGCUGCAAAAGAAGUAGGUAGUUUAACCUUCGGGGGGACG
This 1416-nucleotide ribosomal RNA is filed under the name Vibrio alginolyticus. RNAcentral describes it as "bacterial SSU rRNA". It matches the Rfam family "Bacterial small subunit ribosomal RNA". The record is from RNAcentral. Lineage: Bacteria; Pseudomonadati; Pseudomonadota; Gammaproteobacteria; Vibrionales; Vibrionaceae.